UACUGUUUUUGAAGGCCCGGGCCAUUAAUUGCACACCUUUUGUUUUCUACAGCUGCUUUCCACUGAUGUUUCUGCAAACAAAAACACAGAUCCAGCUCUUGUGAACUUGCUCAAGGUUUCUUAUACCGAGUCCAAUUUUUCCAUGGCAUUUCCUUAUGUUGCUGCUUCAGAGGAGGCAAUGGAGAAUUCAUUGGUUUCUGGGUUUGCAGAAGCUUGUGGGCAGGAUUUUGGAAUCAGUGAUGUUGCUUUUUCAGAGUCAUGUUCUGUAGAGGGUGAAAACUUUAAAAAGCUUGCAAACCUGCACGCCAUCAAUGACUAUCUGGCUUCAAGGAUGGAGAAGAGGCCUAGUGACCAUACUGACCUGGUUGUAUUCUGUUA
Molecule: long non-coding RNA, 378 nt
Organism: Populus trichocarpa (black cottonwood)
Lineage: Eukaryota; Viridiplantae; Streptophyta; Magnoliopsida; Malpighiales; Salicaceae
Exons: 3
Source: RefSeq, a predicted model, not a curated record